RNAcentral lists this ribosomal RNA (327 nucleotides) under uncultured eukaryote. RNAcentral's name for it is "partial 18S ribosomal RNA". It matches the Rfam family "Eukaryotic small subunit ribosomal RNA", at positions 1470 to 1796 of the family's 1831-position model. The record is from RNAcentral.
CCCUUAGAUGUCCUGGGCAGCACGCGUGCUACAAUGAUGCAUUCAACGAGUCUUGCCUUAACCGAAAGGUUCGGGUAAACUUUUGAAAUUGCAUCUUGUCGGGGCUUGAUCAUUGUAAUUUUUGAUCACAAACAAGGAAUUCCUUGUAAAUGUGAGUCAUCAACUUGCAUUGAAUACGUCCCUGCCCUUUGUACACACCGCCCGUCGCUUCUACCGAUUGAAUGACUCGGUGAAAAAUUGGGACCGUGAGUCUGUUUGCUUCAUUGCGAGUGGAUUGAUGGGAACUUUUUUAAACCUCGCCAUUUAGAGGAAGGUGAAGUCGUAACA